GGGCCCGCACAAGCGGUGGAGCAUGUGGUUUAAUUCGAUGCAACGCGAAAAACCUUACCAGGCCUUGACAUCCAGAGAACUUACCAGAGAUGGUUCGGUGCCUUCGGGAACUCUGUGACAGGUGUUGCAUGGCUGUCGUCAGCUCGUGUCGUGAGAUGUUGGGUUAAGUCCCGUAACGAGCGCAACCCUUAUCCUUACUUGCCAGCACGUAAUGGUGGGAACUUUAAGGAGACUGCCGGUGACAAACCGGAGGAAGGAGAGGAUGAUGUCAAGUCAUCAUGGCCCUUACGGCCUGGGCUACACACGUGCUACAAUGGGAAGUACAGACGGCUGCUAACCCGCGAGGGGGAGCUAAUCCGACAAAACUUGUCGUAGUCCGGAUCGAAGUCUGCAACUCGACUUCGUGAAGUCGGAAUC
RNAcentral lists this ribosomal RNA (417 nucleotides) under uncultured bacterium. Its description in RNAcentral is "bacterial SSU rRNA". It matches the Rfam family "Bacterial small subunit ribosomal RNA", at positions 917 to 1333 of the family's 1533-position model. The record is from RNAcentral.